This 1524-nucleotide ribosomal RNA is filed under the name Microbacterium sp. SORGH_AS_1204. RNAcentral describes it as "bacterial SSU rRNA". It matches the Rfam family "Bacterial small subunit ribosomal RNA". Lineage: Bacteria; Bacillati; Actinomycetota; Actinomycetes; Micrococcales; Microbacteriaceae. The record is from RNAcentral.
UUUACGGAGAGUUUGAUCCUGGCUCAGGAUGAACGCUGGCGGCGUGCUUAACACAUGCAAGUCGAACGGUGAAGCCAAGCUUGCUUGGUGGAUCAGUGGCGAACGGGUGAGUAACACGUGAGCAACCUGCCCUGGACUCUGGGAUAAGCGCUGGAAACGGUGUCUAAUACUGGAUAUGAGGCGUGAUCGCAUGGUCAUGUUUGGAAAGAUUUUUCGGUCUGGGAUGGGCUCGCGGCCUAUCAGCACUUGUUGGUGAGGUAAUGGCUCACCAAGGCGUCGACGGGUAGCCGGCCUGAGAGGGUGACCGGCCACACUGGGACUGAGACACGGCCCAGACUCCUACGGGAGGCAGCAGUGGGGAAUAUUGCACAAUGGGCGGAAGCCUGAUGCAGCAACGCCGCGUGAGGGAUGACGGCCUUCGGGUUGUAAACCUCUUUUAGCAGGGAAGAAGCGUGAGUGACGGUACCUGCAGAAAAAGCGCCGGCUAACUACGUGCCAGCAGCCGCGGUAAUACGUAGGGCGCAAGCGUUAUCCGGAAUUAUUGGGCGUAAAGAGCUCGUAGGCGGUUUGUCGCGUCUGCUGUGAAAUCCCGAGGCUCAACCUCGGGCCUGCAGUGGGUACGGGCAGACUAGAGUGCGGUAGGGGAGAUUGGAAUUCCUGGUGUAGCGGUGGAAUGCGCAGAUAUCAGGAGGAACACCGAUGGCGAAGGCAGAUCUCUGGGCCGUAACUGACGCUGAGGAGCGAAAGGGUGGGGAGCAAACAGGCUUAGAUACCCUGGUAGUCCACCCCGUAAACGUUGGGAACUAGUUGUGGGGACCAUUCCACGGUUUCCGUGACGCAGCUAACGCAUUAAGUUCCCCGCCUGGGGAGUACGGCCGCAAGGCUAAAACUCAAAGGAAUUGACGGGGACCCGCACAAGCGGCGGAGCAUGCGGAUUAAUUCGAUGCAACGCGAAGAACCUUACCAAGGCUUGACAUACACCAGAACACCGUAGAAAUACGGGACUCUUUGGACACUGGUGAACAGGUGGUGCAUGGUUGUCGUCAGCUCGUGUCGUGAGAUGUUGGGUUAAGUCCCGCAACGAGCGCAACCCUCGUUCUAUGUUGCCAGCACGUAAUGGUGGGAACUCAUGGGAUACUGCCGGGGUCAACUCGGAGGAAGGUGGGGAUGACGUCAAAUCAUCAUGCCCCUUAUGUCUUGGGCUUCACGCAUGCUACAAUGGCCGGUACAAAGGGCUGCAAUACCGUGAGGUGGAGCGAAUCCCAAAAAGCCGGUCCCAGUUCGGAUUGAGGUCUGCAACUCGACCUCAUGAAGUCGGAGUCGCUAGUAAUCGCAGAUCAGCAACGCUGCGGUGAAUACGUUCCCGGGUCUUGUACACACCGCCCGUCAAGUCAUGAAAGUCGGUAACACCUGAAGCCGGUGGCCUAACCCUUGUGGAGGGAGCCGUCGAAGGUGGGAUCGGUAAUUAGGACUAAGUCGUAACAAGGUAGCCGUACCGGAAGGUGCGGCUGGAUCACCUCCUUU